Long non-coding RNA from Patella vulgata (common limpet), 2284 nucleotides. RefSeq lists it as uncharacterized. Lineage: Eukaryota; Metazoa; Mollusca; Gastropoda; Patellidae. The record is from RefSeq and is a predicted model, not a curated record. The transcript has 4 exons.
UGGAGGUGCUAUUUUCUAUCGCUUUACCAAUAACGAACGGUCAAUUUAUGGAAACAAGAUUUACCAAGUUGUACUUGAUAACUUAACUGUUGAAGAAGAUGAUUAUAUCUGGAUAAUAAUAGUAACACAAGUUCAUUGUCCAUUUAUUAAUGUAAAUAUAAGCAUAAACUGUGCUGAUCGUGCUGAUGUUACAGCCCCCGAUACUGAUACACACAGCAAGAACUCGUUAAAUGAAGGGAUUUCUACAUGUACAUGUAAAGAGAACAACAAUGGUGAUGUUAACACAGGACUAACAGUUGGUAUAAUAGUGGUAUCUUUACUUCUCAUGAUAACAUGGUUUAUUGUUGGUGUUUAUUGUAUCAGAAGGAAGAUUAAACGGACACAGCAGUCCCGCGAGGAACACGAUAUUGCACGUGCUGUAAAUACAGUAGAGACAAGUACGUAUGCAGGCCUCAUCAACAACGGUGGACUGGAACACGAUUAUACAGGCCUGGUGAACCGGAACGGGUCCGAUACUGUAAUCAACGGUGAACCAGUACACGACUAUAUAGCCAUGACGAAUAGGAACAGUUCAGAUACCUUAAAUAACAGUGAAACGGAACACUCCACAGUACAAAAUGAGACAGGACAUGAUUACACUGCUGUGAGUCGCCCGACCCGGGUUCAUACAGAAGCUUCUACCAACGUUGAUUAUGAAAAUACCUUAGUAAAUACAAAUCAGCAGCCUGCUAAUAAUACCACCUCGGCGUGAAAAGUUUAACGACUUACACACACUAUUAGGCCCGGGUCAUUGUAUAUAGCUUAAAACGUCAUUAUAUAGUUCAAGGUCGAAACAGGACCUGAACAAGACAUAUACUACUUGAUUUGAAAUUCAUGUUUACAAAAUGAAUCAAGUAGGAACAUAGUUUUUUUUGUAAUGUAGUUUUGUUUACAAGACACUUUUUCAUCUAUAUUAUUUUUUUCAAAUAAAAACGCGAAAGUUAACCUGCAGCUACUAUAACUUUCCUAUUAAGCAGUCCCCAAAACACCAAACAACAAGCUUUUUCAUUGUAUCUGUCACUUCGUCAUAGCUAAAGGUUGUUGAAUUGUAAGCAUUUCAUUUCAUUAAUACAAUGAUCAUAACGUUGGUUGCUAGGACAGUGGCCUUGGGUGUCUUCCUGGCUUUUGAUGAGAGAUCAAACUAGGUUUAGUGGGAACUUGUUGGAUUUCUUGAAAUGUAUUAUUGUUUGUGACAUAGCAUAGAUAUUUUUGUUGUUCAAAAUGAUUUUUUUUUUAAAUUUAACAAGACAGUAGCAAAUCACUCAUCAUCAUCAUCGUUAUCUUACAACUUGACCACAGUAUAUCACAUUAUUUUACAUAAUAUAGUAUACGUGUAUCACUUAUGAUACACAAAUUAUUCAAUAAUACACAUAAAUGUUAACUUAAUCUAUUAACUUAAUCUCUUAUUCAAAGGGCUAAUCUUUGUAAAUUUAUCUAUAAUCCCCUUAACAUGUUUAAUUUAGUUCCAAGUAAACUUCUGAACUGAUGACAAGGUUUGCUUUAUAUAUGAUAGAAGACAUACGGUCAGUAUUCUUACUGUGCCAGUCUUUAAUAAACGUUUGAACCUUCGUCUAGUGUACGAACAUAAAGGUAAUUUUUAGUAUUCUUUGCCGAUCCAUCGAUAAUACAAUAAAUGAAAUGAAACGAAAUGGGGUUUAACGCUUUACUAUAGUACUGUUCUGCUCCGACUGGGAUGAUACAGUGCUAUGAGGGAAAUUUGGCCUGGGCAGUGGUACUAUGGCCUAUUCUUGUAUCGAAUUCCAACUGCCAAGGGAUGUUUUACUUGCACGUCAAUGUAUACACUCGACCUCGGUUUUUCGUCCCAUGCGAACGACUAUACGGCUGUCCUUGACAGGCACUCCAUCCUGCACUAUUGACAAGGGGGAAACCACGUCGGAAAAUCACGAUGAAUUUUUCAGCCAAUGCAGUGAUCGAACCGGCGACCUCCUGGCUAGCGAGACAGUGUCUUACUCACUGAACCACCCCGCCUCUCGCAUCGAUUAUACGAAAAGGGGCUGAGAAUCGUAACGGUGCCGCCCGAAUCGACGCAUCGAUACUUGAUAUCAGCCCUACCUGUCAGUGUCAAUUUAUAUUUUACUUUGACAAUUUUAAAAUUUGUGAUAUUUAAUAUUUUUAAUUUAAAUAUUUGCGAUCGUUUUACUUCAUGCAUUCAUAGUUUUACCAUUUGUUUAUUGAGCACUCUAUGUGGAAUAAUCGAUGUUACAUAAACGAUUUGAUAAUAAAA